UACAGAGGUCUCGAGCGUUAGGCGGAAUCACUGGGCUUAAAGCGUGUGUAGGCGGAUCGUUAAGUGCCUUGUGAAAUCCCACGGCUUAACCGUGGAACUGCUUGGCAUACUGGCGGUCUUGAGCCACUUAGGGGCAACCGGAACAAACGGUGGAGCGGUGAAAUACGUAGAUAUCAGGAAGAACACCCGUGGCGAAGGCGGUUCUCUGGGACGGUACUGACACUGAGACGCGAAAGCGUGGGGAGCGAACAGG
This 253-nucleotide ribosomal RNA is filed under the name uncultured bacterium. RNAcentral describes it as "partial 16S ribosomal RNA". It matches the Rfam family "Bacterial small subunit ribosomal RNA", at positions 524 to 776 of the family's 1533-position model. The record is from RNAcentral.